GACCGUGAACCGUGAGGAAACGUCUCCCCUUGCGGAUCCGGCGAAAUUCAAGCAAAUAAAGGAG
RNAcentral lists this non-coding RNA (64 nucleotides) under unclassified sequences. RNAcentral's name for it is "L20-Deltaproteobacteria ribosomal protein leader". It matches the Rfam family "L20-Deltaproteobacteria ribosomal protein leader". The record is from RNAcentral.